Molecule: ribosomal RNA, 630 nt
Filed under: Asiorrhina parasiatica
Lineage: Eukaryota; Metazoa; Arthropoda; Insecta; Diptera; Keroplatidae
Description: partial 28S ribosomal RNA
Rfam family: Eukaryotic large subunit ribosomal RNA
Source: RNAcentral
AAACCGCUUAGGGGUUAAACCCGAUGAACCUGAAUAUCUGAAUUGGGAAAUUCAAUAUGAUUCAAUUAUUUUUAAUUUUUAUUAAUAAAAAAAUUGUAUGCACUUUUCCCAUAGUAAGCCAUUGCAAUCCAUUAAUUAUUUUAACAUUAUUUUGUAAUGUUAAUCGGUUUAUUAAAAGGCCCAAUUGUUUUGUUUAUUCUAGCUGUGGUAAUUUCUCCAAUUAUCAUAUGGAUAAUAGCAACGCGGUGACCCAAUAAACAUUUGAUGGAGUUUAUGAAUCAUCCAAACAUAUUUGUUUAUGUAACACGGUCAAUAUACAUAUAUUUUUAUUUAUGUUGGCGCAGGUGUUCGGAUGCAUUCGAUUGGCAAUGCGAUAGAUUUGGGAUACCUUCGGGACCCGUCUUGAAACACGGACCAAGAAGUUUAACAUAGGCGCAAGUCAUUGGGUAGAUUGUUGAAACCUAAGGGCGUAAUUAAAAUAACUAGUUUUUUUUAACGAAUGGGAUUACAAGAAUUUUUUUUUUUAUUUAUUGAAAAAAAUGUUCUUCUCCAUCCCGGGGCGUUCUAUACGAACAUGAUUUAAGCGAUUGAGUCCUCUGUUCAAGAGCGUACCUUGAGCGUUUAUGCUGA